Molecule: ribosomal RNA, 497 nt
Filed under: uncultured bacterium
Lineage: Bacteria
Description: partial 16S ribosomal RNA
Rfam family: Bacterial small subunit ribosomal RNA
Source: RNAcentral
GAUGAACGCUGGCGGCGUGCCUAAUACAUGCAAGUCGAGCGAACAGACGAGGAUCUUGCUCCUCUGACGUUAUCGGCUGACAGGUGUGUAACACGUGUAUAACCUACCUAUAUGACUGGGAUAACUUCGGGAAACCGGAGCUAAUACCGGAUAAUAUAUUGUACCGCAUGGUUCUAUAGUUAAAUACGUUUUUUCUUUCUCUUAUAGAUGGUUCCGCGCCGCAUUAGCUAGUUGGUAAGGUAACGGCUUACCAAGGCAACGAUGCGUAGCCGACGUGAGAGGGUGAUCGGCGAGACUGGAACGGAGACACGGUACAGAGAACGAGGGGAGGCAGCAGUAGGGAAAGUGCCGAAAUGGGCGAAAGGGUGAAGGAGCAAGGCCGAGUGAGUGAUGAAGGUCUACGGAUCGUAAAACUCUGUUAUUAGGGAAGAAAAAAAGUGUAAGAAAAGAUGCACGAAAUGACGGUAACUAAAAAGAAAGCAACGGCUAACUACGUG